GCUUACGGCCACACCCUCUGGUUCACGCCCGAUCUUGUUUGAUCUCGGAAGCUAAGAUAGGUUGGGUCUGGUUAGUACUUGGAAUGGAGACCGCCUAGGAAUACCAGGUGCUGUAAGCC
This 119-nucleotide ribosomal RNA is filed under the name Scophthalmus maximus (turbot). Lineage: Eukaryota; Metazoa; Chordata; Actinopteri; Pleuronectiformes; Scophthalmidae. The record is from RNAcentral.